ACUCUUUAGCGUUUUGGGUAGAAUUUGAUUUCAACCUUGUCGGGCGUUUCGCUAGACACUAACUUAUUGAGUGUA
RNAcentral lists this small RNA (75 nucleotides) under Vibrio chagasii. RNAcentral's name for it is "msr". It matches the Rfam family "Retron msr RNA". Rfam says of the family: Retron elements are found in a wide range of mainly Gram-negative bacteria. The record is from RNAcentral. Lineage: Bacteria; Pseudomonadati; Pseudomonadota; Gammaproteobacteria; Vibrionales; Vibrionaceae.